GCCUUUAUGAUGAAAUGGUAGACAUAUCGACUUCAAAAGUCGACGCUGAAAAGCAUGUCGGUUCAAAUCCGACUAGAGGCA
This 81-nucleotide transfer RNA is filed under the name Chaetophora lobata. Its description in RNAcentral is "tRNA-Leu". It matches the Rfam family "tRNA". From Rfam's summary of the family: Transfer RNA (tRNA) molecules are approximately 80 nucleotides in length. Their secondary structure includes four short double-helical elements and three loops (D, anti-codon, and T loops). Lineage: Eukaryota; Viridiplantae; Chlorophyta; Chlorophyceae; Chaetophorales; Chaetophoraceae. The record is from RNAcentral.